Non-coding RNA from Myodes glareolus (Bank vole), 624 nucleotides. NCBI's taxonomy places the organism in Eukaryota, Metazoa, Chordata, Mammalia, Rodentia, Cricetidae. The record is from RefSeq and is a predicted model, not a curated record.
UCCUGAGUUCAAUUCCCAGCAACCACAUGGUGGCUCACAACCAUCUGUUGUAGAGAGCUGCGUGGCGCCGCGCCUUUAAGAUGGCUCCGGCUGCCACCCUCCGCGAGCCCGAAAGUGAGCGCUCUCUGUGACAAACAACUCCUUUUAUGGUUAUGGCCCAUAACUCGCUAUGAUCGUGUGUCGCUUGCAUAUGUUUGAGCCUAUGGGCAAUGUCCACGUGGCACUCCGGGAUAGGUGACCAUAGGCUAUAUAAGGGCUGGGAGAGGUCUGCCCAGGGAGAGAAAUGAGAGAGAAGCCAUUGUUCAAGGUCCUGAAUAAACUGCCUGCGAGAAGAGCUCCGGUGUCGCGUCAUCCUUGCUGGUUUGAGGUGGUCACGGCAAGUGGUGGCCUGUACGGGGAAGAAGCCACUUCCUCUCCCUGAAGUCCAGAACUUGCAGCAGUCAGGGGGUGCACCGGAAAAGUCCUCAAGGAUCAUUUGGACCCUAUUUGGGUACCGGAGCGCUUGGUGAGAAAAGUACAGGUGCAGAGGAAUGAGAAGCAAGAUGAAGCCUCAGACUGUGAUCCUACUGAUGGUGAUGGUCCUGAUGUCCCCGUUGUUGAUCCAGGCCAAUGAACAAAUCUUGU